This 109-nucleotide small nucleolar RNA is filed under the name Gossypium hirsutum (cotton). RNAcentral's name for it is "Plant small nucleolar RNA R71". It matches the Rfam family "Plant small nucleolar RNA R71". From Rfam's summary of the family: R71 is a member of the C/D box family of snoRNAs containing the C (UGAUGA) and D (CUGA) box motifs. Multiple nearly identical copies of this snoRNA have been identified in Arabidopsis, and it is thought to function as a 2'-O-ribose methylation guide for 18S ribosomal RNA. The record is from Rfam by way of RNAcentral. Lineage: Eukaryota; Viridiplantae; Streptophyta; Magnoliopsida; Malvales; Malvaceae.
AAACCAUGCAUUGGGGAUUUUCUAAUUAACUCCUUGAAUCGUUCCCAUGCUUCAUAUAAUGUUUCAUCCUCAAAAAUUGCCAAAAAGACGUAAUAUCGUUCCUUAAUUA